RNAcentral lists this long non-coding RNA (222 nucleotides) under Elaeis guineensis (African oil palm). RNAcentral describes it as "long non-coding RNA (EGUI_LNC023852)". Lineage: Eukaryota; Viridiplantae; Streptophyta; Magnoliopsida; Arecales; Arecaceae. The record is from RNAcentral.
GUGGCCGAUCAAGCAAAAAUGUCAGCAUUGACCCUGAGCAAUUUUAUUAGUUGUUGCCGCUCUGAGUCGGACAAUUGUGAUCCGAUUCGGACUGUUUUCUUUGGAUCUUCUUCUUUUAAUGGGAUGAAAACCAGUUGUUCCGCCGGUUCACCCCUCUCCUGAUUUUCUCUUUGGUCCAAUUUGUCAACAGGCAAAGAGUCUUUAGGUUUGUUAUUUUGAGUG